UACGUAGGGGGCAAGCGUUGUCCGGAUUUACUGGGCGUAAAGAGCGCGCAGGCGGUCGUUCAAGUCGCGUGUGAAAGCCCCCGGCUCAACUGGGGAGGGUCACGCGAUACUGAUCGACUCGAAGGCAGGAGAGGGUAGUGGAACUCCUAGUGUAGAGGUGGAAUUCGUAGAUAUUAGGAAGAACACCAGUGGCGAAGGCGGCUCACUGGUCCGGUACUGACGCUGAGGCACGAAAGCAUGGGGAGCAAAAGGG
This 253-nucleotide ribosomal RNA is filed under the name uncultured bacterium. RNAcentral describes it as "partial 16S ribosomal RNA". It matches the Rfam family "Bacterial small subunit ribosomal RNA", at positions 524 to 776 of the family's 1533-position model. The record is from RNAcentral.